GACGAACGCUGGCGGCGUGCUUAACACAUGCAAGUCGAACGGAAAGGCCCUGCUUUUGUGGGGUGCUCGAGUGGCGAACGGGUGAGUAACACGUGAGUAACCUGCCCUUGACUUUGGGAUAACUUCAGGAAACCGGGGCUAAUACCGGAUAGGAGCUCCUGCUGCAUGGUGGGGGUUGGAAAGUUUCGGCGGUUGGGGAUGGACUCGCCGCUUAUCAGCUUGUUGGUGGGGUAGUGGCUUACCAAGGCUUUGACGGGUAGCCGGCCUGAGAGGGUGACCGGCCACAUUGGGACUGAGAUACGGCCCAGACUCCUACGGGAGGCAGCAGUGGGGAAUAUUGCACAAUGGGCGGAAGCCUGAUGCAGCAACGCCGCGUGCGGGAUGACGGCCUUCGGGUUGUAAACCGCUUUCGCCUGUGACGAAGCGUGAGUGACGGUAAUGGGUAAAGAAGCACCGGCUAACUACGUG
This 468-nucleotide ribosomal RNA is filed under the name uncultured bacterium. RNAcentral describes it as "partial 16S ribosomal RNA". It matches the Rfam family "Bacterial small subunit ribosomal RNA", at positions 28 to 507 of the family's 1533-position model. The record is from RNAcentral.